RNAcentral lists this ribosomal RNA (275 nucleotides) under uncultured Bacteroides sp. RNAcentral describes it as "partial 16S ribosomal RNA". It matches the Rfam family "Bacterial small subunit ribosomal RNA", at positions 65 to 339 of the family's 1533-position model. Lineage: Bacteria; Pseudomonadati; Bacteroidota; Bacteroidia; Bacteroidales; Bacteroidaceae. The record is from RNAcentral.
CGGGAUUGAAGCUUGCUUCAAUCGCCGGCGACCGGCGCACGGGUGAGUAACGCGUAUCCAACCUUCCGUACACUCAGGGAUAGCCUUUCGAAAGAAAGAUUAAUACCUGAUGGUAUGAUGAGAUUGCAUGAUAGCACCAUUAAAGAUUUAUUGGUAAACGAUGGGGAUGCGUUCCAUUAGGUAGUAGGCGGGGUAACGGCCCACCUAGCCUGCGAUGGAUAGGGGUUCUGAGAGGAAGGUCCCCCACAUUGGAACUGAGACACGGCCCAGACUCC